ACAGAAUUGCCACGAGAGCUAAAAAUAAACAUAAAAAAAGAGAAAAGGCCAGGCAUAACAGUAAAUUUCAGGGCAAAGCUUUGGAGUUCAGGAUAUGUAAAGCCCUCUGUACUUCCGAAGCAUUUAAUUUAGAAGCGCUUACGUCUUUACUUCACUCAAAAGACUUUAAAAUCACCAGUUUUUCGUCUGUUGGUGAGGAAACUGAUGUUAUUCACGUGUAUUCUUUUUCAGAAAGAGGGGAAAUCUUCUUCUUCAAAAGUGGUACUAUUGUUCUUUGGAAUAUCUCUAAUUCUGAAAUGCUUGAG
Zophobas morio is the source of this 305-nucleotide long non-coding RNA. RefSeq lists it as uncharacterized. The record is from RefSeq and is a predicted model, not a curated record. The transcript has 4 exons. Lineage: Eukaryota; Metazoa; Arthropoda; Insecta; Coleoptera; Tenebrionidae.